AUUGAACGCUGGCGGCAUGCUUUACACAUGCAAGUCGAACGGCAGCGCGGGGCAACCUGGCGGCGAGUGGCGAACGGGUGAGUAAUACAUCGGAACGUACCCAGAAGUGGGGGAUAACGUAGCGAAAGUUACGCUAAUACCGCAUACGUUCUACGGAAGAAAGUGGGGGACCUUCGGGCCUCAUGCUUUUGGAGCGGCCGAUGUCUGAUUAGCUAGUUGGUGAGGUAAAGGCUCACCAAGGCGACGAUCAGUAGCUGGUCUGAGAGGACGACCAGCCACACUGGGACUGAGACACGGCCCAGACUCCUACGGGAGGCAGCAGUGGGGAAUUUUGGACAAUGGGCGCAAGCCUGAUCCAGCAAUGCCGCGUGAGUGAAGAAGGCCUUCGGGUUGUAAAGCUCUUUUGUCAGGGAAGAAACGGCUGAGGAUAAUACCUUCGGCUAAUGACGGUACCCGAAGAAUAAGCACCGGCUAACUACGUG
RNAcentral lists this ribosomal RNA (482 nucleotides) under uncultured bacterium. RNAcentral's name for it is "partial 16S ribosomal RNA". It matches the Rfam family "Bacterial small subunit ribosomal RNA", at positions 30 to 507 of the family's 1533-position model. The record is from RNAcentral.